Aedes albopictus (Asian tiger mosquito) is the source of this 74-nucleotide non-coding RNA. Lineage: Eukaryota; Metazoa; Arthropoda; Insecta; Diptera; Culicidae. The record is from Rfam.
UGUUCUGUGGUUUAGUUGGUAAAAGCACCGAUCAAGCGAAUACAGAGUCGUGGAUUCAAAUCCCACCAGAACGC